This is a non-coding RNA of Elaeis guineensis (African oil palm), 280 nucleotides long. The record is from RefSeq and is a predicted model, not a curated record. Lineage: Eukaryota; Viridiplantae; Streptophyta; Magnoliopsida; Arecales; Arecaceae.
AGAUGCGACAGAGCCGUGCGGAGAUGCAGGCCAUGAGGGGACAGAUUGAUCGGCUUACAUCUUUAUUAGAGAUGUAUGGCCCAUCUCAGGCUCCUGGCACAUCAGGCACCCGUCGAGACAACGGCACGUCACGUGGAGACAGCGACGACCAUCCGCCUGCGGAUUGAUAUUAUUUUAUUUUUAUUGUAUUCUUAUAUUUAUUUAUAUUACUCUUGAUUGUAAUAGAUGAUUAGUACUUUAUUUUUAUUUAUAUAAAAUAAUAUCUUUUGGUUUGGUUAAA